CCCUUAGAAGUUCUGGGCUACACGCGUGUUACACUGAUAUGUUCAGCAAGUUAAAAUAUUCCUUGCCCGACGGGGCUGGGUAAUCUUUUAAAAGCAUGUCGUGAUGGGGAUAGAGCAUUGUAAUUAUUGCUCUUGAACGAGGAAUUCCUAGUAAGUGCAAGUCAUUAACUUGCGCUGAUUACGUCCCUGCCCUUUGUACACACCGCCCGUCGCACCUACCGAUUGAAUGUUUCGGUGAAGAUUCCGGACCGAGCGAUGAUCGCUUUACGGCGGUCGCCAUUUGGGAAGUUAUCUAAACCUCAACAUUUAGAGGAAGGUGAAGUCGUAACA
This 330-nucleotide ribosomal RNA is filed under the name uncultured eukaryote. Its description in RNAcentral is "partial 18S ribosomal RNA". It matches the Rfam family "Eukaryotic small subunit ribosomal RNA", at positions 1470 to 1796 of the family's 1831-position model. The record is from RNAcentral.